UAGGGAAUCUUCCACAAUGGACGCAAGUCUGAUGGAGCAACGCCGCGUGAGUGAAGAAGGUUUUCGGAUCGUAAAGCUCUGUUGUUGGUGAAGAAGGAUAGAGGCAGUAACUGGUCUUUAUUUGACGGUAAUCAACCAGAAAGUCACGGCUAACUACGUGCCAGCAGCCGCGGUAAUACGUAGGUGGCAAGCGUUGUCCGGAUUUAUUGGGCGUAAAGCGAGCGCAGGCGGAAUGAUAAGUCUGAUGUGAAAGCCCACGGCUCAACCGUGGAACUGCAUCGGAAACUGUCAUUCUUGAGUGCAGAAGAGUAGAGUGGAAUUCCAUGUGUAGCGGUGGAAUGCGUAGAUAUAUGGAAGAACACCAGUGGCGAAGGCGGCUCUCUGGUCUGCAACUGACGCUGAGGCUCGAAAGCAUGGGUAGCGAACAGG
RNAcentral lists this ribosomal RNA (429 nucleotides) under bacterium. RNAcentral describes it as "partial 16S ribosomal RNA". It matches the Rfam family "Bacterial small subunit ribosomal RNA", at positions 355 to 776 of the family's 1533-position model. The record is from RNAcentral.